AUACUGCAAUACAUUAGAAAAUAUAUCACAAUAUAUCACAAACACGCUCAUAUAUUUGAAAAUAUAUAGCAAUAUAUUAUUGAACAACAUAUUACUAUAUAUUGAUCCAUAUAUUUUAAAAUAUAUGGCUGGCAAAACAAAACUGUAUUCCACUAUUCAGUCUGUAUUUCUUGAUGUUUUUAGUUCAGCAAGCACAUUUUGCACGACAUUGGACAUUUACUCGACAUUAUAAAGUCAUUUUAGGUGGAUCAUAUAUGGCCAUAUAUAAUAAUAUAUUGAUCAAUAUACAGGAGUCUCUGAUUGAAUCAUCUCAGCUCUCAUAUCACGUAUGACGCGCCUACGUCACGUCGUCACAACCUGAAGCUAAAGUGGCGAGAGAGCCGUCUCGGCUCGAGCGCGGUCCGGAUUUUAGCUCCACACUGUCGCCAGCCAGACUCCCCACCACAGUGACACAAACCAACCAGCCGCCUCGAGAGGUUGCUGAAGAGGUAUGCAGCGAUGGUCUGGAGGAAAAAAUAGUCACAUGGACUGGUGUGCAUUCCAGUACUUGAAAUGAUGCUGUUGCUCAGGCACAUCCAGGUGCGAGGAUGGGGGAGAUCCGGAUGUCGCUAAAUAAAAGAAUCUGUGAACUGCUUCACCAAGAGAAAAAGAAGUCCAUGGACAGGCCUAUGAGCCCUCUUGUUGACUUUGAGUGACUGAGGCUGCGGGCGGUCUGCCCCUGAAUUCACCUUCACUUUCUUUUCUUUUAAAAAAAAAUAUAUCUGAAGGUGUGUGUGUGUGUGUGUGAGCGCGCGCGGGUGUGUGUGUGUGGGCGCGGUCACGCGUGUGUGUUUGUGUGUGUGCAUGUGUGCCAGUGCUUUAUGUGAGGUGUUUCGCUUACCGGCCACAGCCACAGUUUUUGUUUUGUUUUCUUUUUGUUUUAUUUGGGGUUUUUUUUUUUUUUUUUUUUUUUUUUGGUUUUUUUUUUUUUUUUUAGAAUAUUUCUGCUUUUUCAUUAAGUACAAGUUACUGGCCAAAGUGGGAGACUGAAAUUGUUACUGGCCACAGGCAAGUUUCCCCAGCAUUUGGCCUGUUGGCCGGUGUCGUUGUCAAGUCGUUUCCCUGCCUGUCUGCCCCUCUGUCUCUGCAUGUGUGAGCGGUGGUGUUAAAGGGUCGGUUGGUUUCAUGUUUUUAAUAAACCAAUGUCAACAGUUGAAUGAAUUGAA
This is a long non-coding RNA of Engraulis encrasicolus (European anchovy), 1205 nucleotides long. RefSeq lists it as uncharacterized. Lineage: Eukaryota; Metazoa; Chordata; Actinopteri; Clupeiformes; Engraulidae. The transcript has 3 exons. The record is from RefSeq and is a predicted model, not a curated record.